Molecule: long non-coding RNA, 1559 nt
Filed under: Paramuricea clavata
Lineage: Eukaryota; Metazoa; Cnidaria; Anthozoa; Malacalcyonacea; Plexauridae
Source: RNAcentral
GUACUACCUCUGCAUGAUCUAACCAUGCUUAACUCAGCAGUGAGUUCUGUACAACAUCAGAUCACUUUAAGGUAGCUCACAUUCAAGAACAUGUACUAGCUCACAUUCAAGAACAUGUAUUACCUCUGUAUGAAUACGAUCUAUAACAAUGCUUAACUCAACAGUGAGUUCUGUACAACAUCAGAUCACUUUAAGGUAGCUCACAUUCAAGAACAUGUACUAGCUCACAUUCAAGAACAUGUAUUACCUCUGUAUGAAUAUGAUCUAUAACCAUGCUUAACUCAGCAGUGAGUUCUGUACAGCAUCAUAUCACUUUAAAAUAGACACAUUCAAGAACGUGUACUGUCUAGAACUGAUAGAACUAUCCAGUAUAAAUAAAAUUUGUUAAUUAUUUCGGUGAAAUGACUCUAGCUAGGGAGAACAGUCCAGAACUGAUAGAACUAUCCAGUAUAAUAUAUCGUUCACUGUAGGUUUCCUCCUGAACAAACUAGUACUCCACGCCUAGAGAGAGAACAGUUUCGAAGUAUCUAGCAUAAAAAAGUAAUUUUAGGUUUGUUUGAAUUUUAAUAUGUGGGCAUGACAAAGAGUUAAUGUCUACACAGGUGGCUCUGCCUGUGGAACGCGAGAUGAAAGUGCUGACGAAUUGGUUUCCAUAACAACGUAACAUUCCAUAAAUGAUAGUAAUUCAUGUUAUACAUUGAGACAACAGUAUCAAUGCUGGAAACAUCUAGUUUGUUCUAUAAUCGAUUAAAUAGUUGACUAUAUGUUGACAUAGUUAAGUAGUGUUUAUAUCUGGUCACAUGCUGACAACGUGCUGUUAACGUGCCGUUGUCAUGUUAUUAUGAUUUGUCGAGAGGUAGUACAUGAAUGUUCUUGAAUGUGGGCUAUCCUAAAAACAUCACAGCUGAGUUAAGCAUGGUUAGAUCAUGCAAAGGUAGUACAUGUUCUUGCAUUUCGGCUGUCCUAAAAACAUUACUGCUGAGUUAAUCAUGGUUAGAUCAUACAGAGGUAGUACAAGUUCUCGAAUGUGGACUACUUUAAAAUCUGAUGUUGGACAGAACUCAUGGUUUGAUCAUGCAGAAGUAGUACAUGUUCUUGAAUGUGAGCUACCUUAAAGUGAUCUGAUGUUGUAGAGAACUCACAAGCUGAGUUAAGCAUGGUUAGAUCAUGCAGAGGUCGUAGUACAUGUUCUUGAAUGUGAGCUACCUUAAAGUGAUCUGAUGUUGUAAAGAACUCACAGCUGAGUUAAUAUGAUUAGAUCAUAUGCAGAGGGGUCACACGUUCUUGAUUGUGCGGUACCCUAAACUAGUAAUCUUGGUUAGAUCAUGCAGAGAUAGUACGUGUUCUUGAAAUACGUGACUGUAUGAGUCACGUAGACAAAAGGCACUACAUUACCCUAAUCACAAGAAUGCAACUGCUAUAAAUGGCGGUAUCAGUUGAUAAACAACUUUUGAACACACGUAUACAUCCGCAACUAAUGGACAACUUGCAUGUCAGACUAAAUUUUAAUCUAAGUAAAGAGAAGGGAAUAAAACACAACAGUUAAAAAUAAAUUAAUG